This 162-nucleotide small RNA is filed under the name Bacteroides eggerthii. RNAcentral's name for it is "Bacteroides sRNA BTnc231". It matches the Rfam family "Bacteroides sRNA BTnc231". From Rfam's summary of the family: An uncharacterized small RNA discovered in Bacteroides thetaiotaomicron Lineage: Bacteria; Pseudomonadati; Bacteroidota; Bacteroidia; Bacteroidales; Bacteroidaceae. The record is from RNAcentral.
ACGUUUUUUUCAUAGAGAUUUAGAUUUAAGGUUAGAAGAAUUGUGGAAGUCGUGAGACUUCCCUUUUUUUCGCCUUGACGGUUGUUCUCUUAUUGAUUUGAUAAGGAAUCUUCAGGUUGUUAAGAGGACAAAAAAAGCUCUUUCAUAAGAAAGAGCUUUUUU